RNAcentral lists this long non-coding RNA (575 nucleotides) under Mytilus galloprovincialis (Mediterranean mussel). The record is from RNAcentral. Lineage: Eukaryota; Metazoa; Mollusca; Bivalvia; Mytilida; Mytilidae.
UAUUUGAGAAUAAUACAUAAAUAAAGGCAACAGUAGUAUACCGCUGUUCAAAACUCAUAAAUCCAUGGACAAAAAACAAAAUCGGGGUAACAAACUAAAACCGAGGGAAACGCAUUAAAUAUAAGAGGAGAACAACGACACAACACCGAAACGCAACACACACAGAAACGGACCAAGCAACAGACAAAACACCACGAGAAUAACAAAUAUAACAUCAAAACCAAAUACAUGAAUUUGGGAUAGACAAGUACCGUGCCACGUCUUAUCUCAAAAAUAAGAGAAAACACAAACGACUCAACGUUAAAAUGCAACACACACAGAAACGAACAAUAUUAUAACAAUGGCCAUCUUCCUGACUUGGUACAGGACACUUUUAAAGGGGAAUAAAAGUGGUGGGUUGAACCUGGUUUUAUGGCAUGCCAAACCUCGCACUUUAAUGGCAAAGUUAAAUAUAACAUUGAAAUGACAACACAAUAUUACAGGACUACAACACAAACAAAAAGGAGACCAUAUUAGACAAAGAAAAACAUGAUUAAUAGAUAACAAAAAGCAUCAGGUUUAAAAUUCAAUACGCC